Molecule: long non-coding RNA, 258 nt
Filed under: Anas platyrhynchos platyrhynchos (common mallard)
Lineage: Eukaryota; Metazoa; Chordata; Aves; Anseriformes; Anatidae
Description: lncRNA (ENSAPLG00000020075.1)
Source: RNAcentral
UCUGAGGGAAGGUGAGUGUUGCCAGCCAGGUCAUGCCUUAUCCGAAGCGAAGUGAAGACGCUCAGGUGUUUCCCUGUGAAGUUCCGAAGUGAGACUGUUUGGGAUAGAGGAGCAGAGUGGCAGGGGGUUGCUUGCAAGCACAGUGGUCGUUUUGUCCUUUUGUGUUCCCAGGUGUUGUGGAUGAUGGUGGCCGCUCCUUUCAAGCUUGGACCUAAUUUGCAGGUCCAGAGGCAAGUGGAGUGCUGUUUUGAAAGGUAG